UCCCUGGUGGCUCAGAUGGUAAAGAAUCCACCUGCAAUGCGGAAGAUCUGGGUUCAAUCCCUGGUUUGGGAA
This 72-nucleotide transfer RNA is filed under the name Bos taurus (domestic cattle). It matches the Rfam family "tRNA". Rfam says of the family: Transfer RNA (tRNA) molecules are approximately 80 nucleotides in length. Lineage: Eukaryota; Metazoa; Chordata; Mammalia; Artiodactyla; Bovidae. The record is from Rfam by way of RNAcentral. RNAcentral also lists the same sequence under 5 other names.